This 909-nucleotide ribosomal RNA is filed under the name Enterococcus faecalis. RNAcentral's name for it is "bacterial SSU rRNA". It matches the Rfam family "Bacterial small subunit ribosomal RNA", at positions 1 to 874 of the family's 1533-position model. The record is from RNAcentral. Lineage: Bacteria; Bacillati; Bacillota; Bacilli; Lactobacillales; Enterococcaceae.
UAAAAAAAAAGAAGAUGGGGGUCCCCCCGCCAGACGACGCUGGCGGCGUGCCUAAUACAUGCAAGUCGAACGCUUCUUUCCUCCCGAGUGCUUGCACUCAAUUGGAAAGAGGAGUGGCGGACGGGUGAGUAACACGUGGGGUAACCUACCCAUCAGAGGGGGGAUAACACUUGGAAACAGGUGCUAAUACCGCAUAACAGUUUAUGCCGCAUGGCAUAAGAGUGAAAGGCGCUUUCGGGUGUCGCUGAUGGAUGGACCCGCGGUGCAUUAGCUAGUUGGUGAGGUAACGGCUCACCAAGGCCACGAUGCAUAGCCGACCUGAGAGGGUGAUCGGCCACACUGGGACUGAGACACGGCCCAGACUCCUACGGGAGGCAGCAGUAGGGAAUCUUCGGCAAUGGACGAAAGUCUGACCGAGCAACGCCGCGUGAGUGAAGAAGGUUUUCGGAUCGUAAAACUCUGUUGUUAGAGAAGAACAAGGACGUUAGUAACUGAACGUCCCCUGACGGUAUCUAACCAGAAAGCCACGGCUAACUACGUGCCAGCAGCCGCGGUAAUACGUAGGUGGCAAGCGUUGUCCGGAUUUAUUGGGCGUAAAGCGAGCGCAGGCGGUUUCUUAAGUCUGAUGUGAAAGCCCCCGGCUCAACCGGGGAGGGUCAUUGGAAACUGGGAGACUUGAGUGCAGAAGAGGAGAGUGGAAUUCCAUGUGUAGCGGUGAAAUGCGUAGAUAUAUGGAGGAACACCAGUGGCGAAGGCGGCUCUCUGGUCUGUAACUGACGCUGAGGCUCGAAAGCGUGGGGAGCAAACAGGAUUAGAUACCCUGGUAGUCCACGCCGUAAACGAUGAGUGCUAAGUGUUGGAGGGUUUCCGCCCUUCAGUGCUGCAGCAAACGCAUUAAGCACUCCGCAG